This 1619-nucleotide long non-coding RNA is filed under the name Homo sapiens (human). RNAcentral's name for it is "HSALNT0226341". Lineage: Eukaryota; Metazoa; Chordata; Mammalia; Primates; Hominidae. The record is from RNAcentral.
CGGGGCCAGGCUUGUGGCAACUUGGGCCUGGCUGUUCUCUUGGAAGGACGUUUCCAGCCUCUGGGCCCCAGAAGACCCUGGCACGUCCACUGCCCUCACUGGAAUGGGACCACCUCCACCUCCCGGGGCCCCAAGGCCCGGGUCCCGGGCACAGGUCGCCUCUUUCCUCCUCAACGUUUUUUUUUUGUUUGUUUAGUUUUUUGUUUGUUUUUUUGUUUUUUUUGCCCUUAAGACCCAAAGACAGAGGCUUCACCACGUUCAGGUAAUGAAACUGGCUUUUGUGAGACUUGCGUCAGACCAGCUGUGUGACUUUGGCUGAGCUACGUAACCUUUCUGAACCUUAUCUCUGGGCUCCCGUGAGAACUGAGAGUGAGGAAGGCCCGGGGCCUCACAGGGCUGGGCUGGAGGCACAAGCUUCCAGAAGCGACAAGGAAGUAGUCUGGGACACCUGCCUGCCUCUCGUUCCGCAGCAGGGAUGGUGCCACCCCCUCAACCCGGCCUGAUACACGCAGAGGACAGACAUUCCCAAGCAGCCCAUGGCUCUGCCUCCCUCUGAAUCUGCCUGGUACCCAUUCGAACACUCAAGGCUCUGAUAAGGCCUGCACUGACAGGUCCAGCUAGCGCUGCGUAACCUGUAUUUCCCCGGGUCAUUUGGCUAGAAGCCCUUUAUCUGGAAAAUCCUGAGGGACCUUCAGAGGACCAGGUUGUAGUUCACACCAAGAAGCAAGCUCCGUGCGGCAGAGCCCAGGGGACUCAGGGCCGUGCCUGGUGCAGUGCAGCCCCCCGGGGGGCUCCGUGAAUGAGCGCCUGUGUGAAUGGGUGAGUGAGUGGAAUUCACAAGUGGAGCAUGAAGGCUGAGUGGCUCUUCCGGCCCCAGACGCGGUGCGAACUGCCUGUGUUGCGGGGCCGGAAGCGGCAGGGUAGAUUCUGACCGAGGCUGCUUCAAUGCCUGGCGCCCCUGAGGACGGGGUCCCAGGAGAACCCCCGGCGUGGGCUGCAGAGCAACUCCCCCGAGAAGCCGCCCGGGAGCUCACAGGCGACCAGGACAUCGUCACGCAGGGACAAUGCCAGGGUCCGAGCGGGGCAGCUAUUGAGGGAACUGCCCUCACCCUUGGUUGAGUAAAUGAAAGAACGCUGGUGCGUGUGAUGGGCUACGGGGUCAAGCAGACGUGGGGCGCCCCUGAAAGAGCAGCCGGCGACGUGAGGCUUCGUGGAAAGAAGCCCCCAGGAGCCAGGGCUGGAGCAGAAGGCAGGGUGGUGGGAGCGUCAGCCUCUGCUGCUGCCGUGGGCUGAGUGUGUCUCCCCAGAGGUCCCAGCCCUUGGCACCUCCGCAUGUGACUGUACUUGAGGACAGGCCGUUAAAGACACAAUUCUUUUAAAACGAGGCCUUCCGGGGGCCUAAUGCAGCCUCACAGUGCCCUUCCAGGGAGCAGAGGGCUGGAGACGCGCACACAGAGGAGAGGCCUGUGGGGACCUGGGAAGGCGCCAUAUGUGAACCAGGAGGAGACGGCGGGAGAAGCCCACCCUGGUUCACAGGCUCCAGUGCGGUGAGGGGAGCGAUGUCUGCUAUGUGAGCUGCCCCGUCUGUGGUAUUUUGUUUUGGGUGCUCCCAAAUGCAG